This 468-nucleotide ribosomal RNA is filed under the name uncultured bacterium. RNAcentral describes it as "partial 16S ribosomal RNA". It matches the Rfam family "Bacterial small subunit ribosomal RNA", at positions 28 to 507 of the family's 1533-position model. The record is from RNAcentral.
GACGAACGCUGGCGGCGUGCUUAACACAUGCAAGUCGAACGGAAAGGCCCUGCUUUUGUGGGGUGCUCGAGUGGCGAACGGGUGAGUAACACGUGAGUAACCUGCCCUUGACUUUGGGAUAACUUCAGGAAACUGGGGCUAAUACCGGAUAGGAGCUCCUGCUGCAUGGUGGGGGUUGGAAAGUUUCGGCGGUUGGGGAUGGACUCGCGGCUUAUCAGCUUGUUGGUGGGGUAGUGGCUUACCAAGGCUUUGGCGGGUAGCCGGCCUGAGAGGGUGACCGGCAACAUUGGGACUCAGAAACGGCCCAGACUCCUACGGGAGGCAGCAGUGGGGAAUAUUGCACAAUGGGCGGAAGCCUGAUGCAGCAACGCCGCGUGCGGGAUGACGGCCUUCGGGUUGUAAACCGCUUUCGCCUGUGACGAAGCGUGAGUGACGGUAAUGGGUAAAGAAGCACCGGCUAACUACGUG